CCUACGGGAGGCAGCAGUGGGGGAUAUUGCACAAUGGGGGAAACCCUGAUGCAGCGACGCCGCGUGAGGGAAGAAGGAUUUCGGUAUGUAAAGCUCUAUCAGCAGGGAAGAAAAUGACAGUACCUGAACAAGAAGCCCCGGCUAACGACGUGCCAGCAGCCGCGGUAAUACGGAGGGGGCAAGCGUUAUCCGGAUUUACUUGGUGGAAAGGGGGCGUAGACGGUUAUGUAAGUCUGGAGUGAAAGCCGGGGGCCCAACCCCGGGACUGCUUUGGAAAAUGUGUAACUGGAGUACAGGAGGGGCAUGCGGAAUUCCUGGUGUAGCGGUGAAAUGCGUAGAUAUCAGGAGGAACACCGGCGGCGAAGGCGGCCUGCUGGACUGAAACUGACGUUGAGGCUCGAAAGCGUGGGGAGCAAACAGGAUUAGAUACCCUAGUAGUC
This 440-nucleotide ribosomal RNA is filed under the name uncultured bacterium. RNAcentral's name for it is "partial 16S ribosomal RNA". It matches the Rfam family "Bacterial small subunit ribosomal RNA", at positions 338 to 795 of the family's 1533-position model. The record is from RNAcentral.